This is a non-coding RNA of Caenorhabditis elegans, 223 nucleotides long. Lineage: Eukaryota; Metazoa; Nematoda; Chromadorea; Rhabditida; Rhabditidae. The record is from Ensembl.
UAGUCACCGAAGGAAAAGAGAGAGAGAGAGGUAGAGAGAGACAACCCGAGAGACGAGACAACCGAUGUAUGUUUGCGAUCAAAAACAGUUCGACGGUGACAGUGACGACCUCAAAGCAGACCGCCACUGUGUCUUGGCUUUCCAUGACGUGGCAACUUUUUCAAAAUAUGAAAUAACUCAUUACAAGUGUUGUUGUGCUCUUUCAUUCAACCAAACAGUGAGG